AUUGAACGCUGGCGGCAGGCUUAACACAUGCAAGUCGAGCGGAUGAAGGUAGCUUGCUACCGGAUUCAGCGGCGGACGGGUGAGUAAUGCUUAGGAAUCUGCCUAUUAGUGGGGGACAACGUUCCGAAAGGAGCGCUAAUACCGCAUACGUCCUACGGGAGAAAGCAGGGGACCUUCGGGCCUUGCACUAAUAGAUGAGCCUAAGUCGGAUUAGCUAGUUGGUAGGGUAAAGGCCUACCAAGGCGACGAUCUGUAGCGGGUCUGAGAGGAUGAUCCGCCACACUGGGACUGAGACACGGCCCAGACUCCUACGGGAGGCAGCAGUGGGGAAUAUUGGACAAUGGGGGGAACCCUGAUCCAGCCAUGCCGCGUGUGUGAAGAAGGCCUUUUGGUUGUAGAGCACUUUAAGCGAGGAGGAGGCUACCUAGAUUAAUACUUUAGGAUAGUGGACGUUACUCGCAGAAUAAGUACCGGCUAACUCUGUGCCAGCAGCCGCGGUAAUACAGAGGGUGCGAGCGUUAAUCGGAUUUACUGGGCGUAAAGCGUGCGUAGGCGGCCAAUUAAGUCAAAUGUGAAAUCCCCGAGCUUAACUUGGGAAUUGCAUUCGAUACUGGUUGGCUAGAGUAUGGG
RNAcentral lists this ribosomal RNA (630 nucleotides) under Acinetobacter radioresistens WC-A-157. RNAcentral's name for it is "bacterial SSU rRNA". It matches the Rfam family "Bacterial small subunit ribosomal RNA", at positions 28 to 652 of the family's 1533-position model. Lineage: Bacteria; Pseudomonadati; Pseudomonadota; Gammaproteobacteria; Moraxellales; Moraxellaceae. The record is from RNAcentral.